GGAAGAUAAUCCAAAAGGGAUUCCUUCAGUAAUGGCGAAUGAACGGGGAAAAGCUCAGCAAAGAAAUCGAGGACUCCGGCCUUGAGUUGUGGACUUGAGAGGUAUCGCCAAUGGUGGCACAGGUGGGGGCCUCUUGGAAAAGGGCACCACAGAGGGUGUGAGUCCUGUUUGCCAUCUGUAGUCCGCUGUGUACGGCAUGCCUCCUCCGAGUCACGUUCCUUGGAAUUGGAGCGCGAAGGUGGUGGUGGCUUUCAUCUCAAGCUAAGUAUGGGUUCGAGACCGAUAGCAAACAAGUACCAUGAGGGAAAAUUGAAAAGAGCUUUGGAAAGAGAGUUAAAAGUGCCCGAACUUGCUGAUAGGGAAGCGAAGGGAGCUGACGUUGCUUGGUAACAUCUUCCGCGCAGGACUAGGAUGGGUUCUGAUUGCAAUGUGUGUUGUGUUUCUUGCCAUGCGUGUCAAUGCCAAGUAAUGAGUGGGGAGAGCUCCAGGGAUAAUGAUUGUUUCUGUCCCCGGGUAGACGAAUAUGUCUGGGUGCAUCCAUUUGUGGGCUGAAAAAUUGGUGGUUGGUUGCAGCUCCCUGCCUACGAGGCAAUUGGGGUGUAGCCCUGACACGCAGACGAGAGCAA
RNAcentral lists this ribosomal RNA (626 nucleotides) under Prorocentrum lima. RNAcentral's name for it is "LSU rRNA". It matches the Rfam family "Eukaryotic large subunit ribosomal RNA", at positions 55 to 606 of the family's 3401-position model. Lineage: Eukaryota; Dinophyceae; Prorocentrales; Prorocentraceae. The record is from RNAcentral.